AAAUUAAUGCAACAUUUUUAUUCAUGCAAUCAAUGUGAUUGAGUAACAAUCACUGUAAUAAAAACUUGUAUUCUGAUAUCUAAUACAUUUCCUGUAAUCUGAAUAAGUAAUCUCAUAUUUGUCCAUUCUUCAAAAUCGCAAUAAUAAAUGUAGACAAUAAUUUCUUAAUUUACAGUAUUGUAUUGUAUGUCCUGCCUAUGUGCGUGUGGCAUUUAAGUUUAUCUUGUGUGUACAUUCUGAAUUUGUUUAAAUUUUGCAUUUACUAUAAAAGUCUCAUUUCCCUGUUAUUGGUAAACAUUAGACUCAGUCUCCUCUUACAGAACAAUAACAAUAAAAUGUGUGUGACUGUUACCUAUAUUUAGAAGUGACUUGUGAAUUUUUCUCUAAGGCCAAUUAAUAGAAGAAUAAAGCAAAAAAAUGUGUAUUUAUUGAUGUUAAUACUUCACUUCAGUCAAGACUGUUAUUAAAACUUGGCUUUUUCUUAAAUACAGUGGAACUCGUCUUUAGAGACCACCCUUUCUGUCAUGAAAAAAGAGGUCUUUAUUAACAAGUUUUCUUACAAAUGAUGUUAAGUUUAUAAAAUGAAAAUGAAAUGUGACAGAAGAAUGGUGUUCUUUACCUAUAUUUUCUGUCACAAGCACAGAUGUCAUUUAAAUGAUACAAAAUAGUACGUUUAGCAGUGAUUCUCUCGUUUCCAUUAGAAGGCAGAUAACAGUGUUCUAUUUUUAGAUUUUGGGGCAUAAAUAUUUUAAUUUGUUCCCAUUUCAUGUUAGUGACUACUAAUGUGUUUCCAGUAAACUCCAUUUGGGAAAAAUUGUCAAUUUAUGCCUGUAAAUCUUCAAAAACAAAACUUUAACUCCAAAUCUAUAAUUUUCUCCAAAUCUAUAAUUUUCUCAAAAACAAUGUUCUGUAUUCUGUUUUGGAUUUGAUUGAAGCUUGGGCAUCUGACAGACCCGUCAUCUUCACAUUUACUUUUUAUAGUUAAGAAAAUAUAGGUUAAAGGUUAUUCAGAUUUUCAGAUUUGACUCUAUAUUGUAAAUAUGAUAUGGUCAUUUUAUUUUUCCCAAGCAAAACAAAUUUGUGCUUGUUCUACUGUAUAUUACUUUUUAGGAAAAU
RNAcentral lists this long non-coding RNA (1116 nucleotides) under Mytilus galloprovincialis (Mediterranean mussel). The record is from RNAcentral. Lineage: Eukaryota; Metazoa; Mollusca; Bivalvia; Mytilida; Mytilidae.